This 263-nucleotide ribosomal RNA is filed under the name uncultured bacterium. RNAcentral describes it as "partial 16S ribosomal RNA". It matches the Rfam family "Bacterial small subunit ribosomal RNA", at positions 337 to 617 of the family's 1533-position model. The record is from RNAcentral.
UCCUACGGGAGGCAGCAGUGGGGAAUAUUGCACAAUGGGCGAAAGCCUGAUGCAGCGACGCCGCGUGAGUGAAGAAGUAUUUCGGUAUGUAAAGCUCUAUCAGCAGGGAAGAAAAUGACGGUACCUGACUAAGAAGCCCCGGCUAACUACGUGCCAGCAGCCGCGGUAAUACGUAGGGGGCAAGCGUUAUCCGGAUUUACUGGGUGUAAAGGGAGCGAAGACGGCGAAGCAAGUCUGAAGUGAAAACCCAGGGCUCAACCCUG